Molecule: transfer RNA, 33 nt
Filed under: Luciobarbus numidiensis
Lineage: Eukaryota; Metazoa; Chordata; Actinopteri; Cypriniformes; Cyprinidae
Description: partial tRNA-Thr
Source: RNAcentral
CGAAGAUCGGAGGUUAAACUCCUCCCUAGCGCC